UGGAGGACGGGAGCAUUUGAAGUGAGCAUCUGGAUUGCAUUAUGAUGUAAUUCAAUUCGAUGCAAAUGUAAUACUUUGAGAGAAUGAAGACCAAUGGACAUUGGCAGGUCCAGAUUACAGAAACACAGUACCAAUUUGACCAAUGAUUUGCAGUUGAAAACACAAGGAUGUAACUUAUAGCAUGGACCAAAUGCAGUAUUCCUUGCGAUAUUGGUA
Molecule: unclassified non-coding RNA, 216 nt
Filed under: Hevea brasiliensis (rubber tree)
Lineage: Eukaryota; Viridiplantae; Streptophyta; Magnoliopsida; Malpighiales; Euphorbiaceae
Source: RNAcentral